This 497-nucleotide ribosomal RNA is filed under the name uncultured bacterium. RNAcentral's name for it is "partial 16S ribosomal RNA". It matches the Rfam family "Bacterial small subunit ribosomal RNA", at positions 28 to 507 of the family's 1533-position model. The record is from RNAcentral.
GAUGAACGCUGGCGGCGUGCCUAAUACAUGCAAGUCGAACGAACAGACGAGGAGCUUGCUCCUCUGACGUUAGCCGCGGACGGGUGAGUAACACGUGGAUAACCUACCUAUAAGACUGGGAUAACUUCGGGAAACCGGCGCUAAUCCCGGAUAAUCUCUUGCACCGCGUUGUUCAAUAGUGAAAUACGGUUUUUCUGUCACUUCUCGAUGCAUCCGCGCCGGAUUAGCUAGUUGUGAAGGUCACGGCUUAUCAAGGUAACGAUGCGUAGCCGACCUGAGAGGGUGAGCAGCCACACUGGGAGUGUGACCCGGUCCAGAGGCAUACGGGAGGCAGCAGUAGGGAAUCGGGCGGCAGGAGCGAAAACCAGACGGAGAAGCGCCGAGUGAGUGAUGAACGUCGUCGGAUCGGAGAACUCUGUUAUUAGGGAAGAACAAAUGUGUAAGUAAGUAGGCACGUGUGGACGGGAACUAGGCAGAGAGGCACGGCUAAAUAAGUG